GGCCUACCAUGGUGGUAACGGGUAACGGGGUGUUAGGGCACGACACCGGAGAGGGAGCCUGAGAAACGGCUGCCACAUCCAAGGAUGGCAGCAGGCGCGCAAAUUACCCAAUCCCGACACGGGGAGGUAGUGACAAUAAAUAACAAUACGGGGUUCUUUCGGAUCUCGUAAUUGGAAUGAGUACAAUUUAAAUCUCUUAACGAGGAACAAUUGGAGGGCAAGUCUGGUGCCAGCAGCCGCGGUAAUUCCAGCUCCAAUAGCGUAUAUUAAAGUUGUUGCAGUUAAAAAGCUCGUAGUUGAAUUUCAGGCCUGGCUGGACGGUCCGCCCUUCGGGUGAGUACUGUCUGUGGUCGGGUCCUACCUUCUGGCGAAGCGUCAUGGCCUUAACCGGCCGUGGCGGGGAACCAGGACUUUUACUGUGAAAAAAUUAGAGUGUUCAAAGCAGGCAAUCGCUUGGAUACAUUAGCAUGGAAUAAUGGAAUAGGACAAUGGUUCUAUUUGUUGGUUUCUAGGACCGUUGUAAUGAUUAAUAGGGAUAGUUGGGGGCAUUAGUAUUCAAUUGUCAGAGGUGAAAUUCUUGGAUUUAUUGAAGACUAACUACUGCGAAAGCAUUUGCCAAGGAUGUUUUCAUUAAUCAAGAACGAAAGUUAGGGGAUCGAAGACGAUCAGAUACCGUCGUAGUCUUAACCAUAAACUAUGCCGACUAGGAAUCGGGCGAUGUUGAAAAAAUGACGCGCUCGGCACCUCAUG
This 750-nucleotide ribosomal RNA is filed under the name uncultured Glomeromycotina. RNAcentral describes it as "SSU rRNA". It matches the Rfam family "Eukaryotic small subunit ribosomal RNA", at positions 338 to 1092 of the family's 1831-position model. Lineage: Eukaryota; Fungi; Glomeromycota. The record is from RNAcentral.